RNAcentral lists this transfer RNA (77 nucleotides) under Chitinophagaceae bacterium. RNAcentral describes it as "tRNA-Arg". It matches the Rfam family "tRNA". From Rfam's summary of the family: Transfer RNA (tRNA) molecules are approximately 80 nucleotides in length. The record is from RNAcentral. Lineage: Bacteria; Pseudomonadati; Bacteroidota; Chitinophagia; Chitinophagales; Chitinophagaceae.
GGUCCGGUAGCUCAGCUGGAUAGAGCAUCAGCCUUCUAAGCUGAGGGUCAUGCGUUCGAAUCGCAUCCGGAUCACCA